This 459-nucleotide ribosomal RNA is filed under the name uncultured bacterium. RNAcentral describes it as "partial 16S ribosomal RNA". It matches the Rfam family "Bacterial small subunit ribosomal RNA", at positions 338 to 795 of the family's 1533-position model. The record is from RNAcentral.
CCUACGGGAGGCUGCAGUGAGGAAUAUUGGUCAAUGGACGAGAGUCUGAACCAGCCAAGUAGCGUGAAGGAUGACUGCCCUAUGGGUUGUAAACUUCUUUUAUAUGGGAAUAAAAUGUUCCACGUGUGGGAUUUUGUAUGUACCAUAUGAAUAAGGAUCGGCUAACUCCGUGCCAGCAGCCGCGGUAAUACGGAGGAUCCGAGCGUUAUCCGGAUUUAUUGGGUUUAAGGGGAGCGUAGGUGGAUUGUUAAGUCAGUUGUGAAAGUUUGCGGUUCAACCGUAAAAUUGCAGUUGAAAUUGAAGUCUUGAGUACAGUAGAGGUGGGCGGAAUUCGUGGUGUAGCGGUGAAAUGCUUAGAUAUCACGAAGAACUCCGAUUGCGAAGGCAGUUCACUGGACUGCAACUGACACUGAGGCUCGAAAGUGUGGGUAUCAAACAGGAUUAGAUACCCUUGUAGUC